AGCAGUAGCGAGAGGGUGCAGGCCAGGCUGGGGGACCCCCCCUUCCCCCCCGAGUGCACAAAUUUCAUGCACCGGGCCCCUAGUAAUGAAUAAUUUACAAUGUCAGUGCCUUAAUGCCACAGAGAUUUAUUUGUCCCUUUUAGCCAAUGUAGUUCUAAGGGACUUUCUAGCAUUAUUGUACCUCCAUGUGAUAACUAUACCAUCCAGGCUAAUGGGUUUUUUGCCACUUAAUUGCACAUCUUAAACAUAUGGUUGUUUCAAACCUGAUUGAUGUAACAUGAGAAGAAAGAAAGUGUGAAGGUCUUGCACAAGCAAUUAAAUACUCCAUUCUAGUGAGAUACAUGGCACUUCAGCCCACAACCCACUGGCCAAACUUGCCACAUGGCCCUGACUGACUUCAUGAUGGAUAGAGAAGUGUAAUUUCCUAUGUGCUUGUAAGGAGAGGAGAACCAGACAUUAAUGAGCAUUAGAAAUCUCUACCACAGAGGUGCAGCCUGAGGUUCUUUCCUUGACUUGCAACUUAUUGUGUCAUAAAAAAGUAACUGAAGCCCUUGGCCAAUGUGGCUAAGUUAGUUGGGUGUCAUCCUGUGCACCAAAGGAUUGCAUUUUUAUCCCCAGUAGGGAGUGUGCAGGAGGCAGCCAAUCUAUGUUUCCUUCUCUCUCCCUCUCCCUUCCUCUCUCUCUAAAUAUCAAUAAAGUAUUUUUUAAAAAAUAAGAGAAAAUAUAUGCUUCUUAGCCAGAGACUACAAGCUGUGGAAGGAGCCAUUUUUCUUUAGAAAAAAACUCCCACUCCUCAAAGAAGGACAUGUAGAAUAACACGUCAUCCUUUUGGGUUUUCACAGGCCAUCACCACAACGUGUUGAAAUGAAAAACAGUUUGUCAGUUAAUUUCAUGUGUCAACUUGGUUAGACUAUGGUAACUAGUUGUUUGGUCAAACAUGAAUUCUAGAUGUUGCUAUGAAGAUCAUUUUCAGAUGUGAUGAAUAUUUACAAUCAGUUAACUUUAAGUAAAGCAGAUUACCCUUCAUGAUGUGAGUGGGCCUCAUCCAAACAGUUGAAGACCUUCAGAGCAAAGACUGAGGUUUCUGAAGGUGAAGUAAAAUCUGCCUCAAGACUGUAAGAUUGACAUUCUGCCUGAGUUUCCAGCCUGCUAUCCUGCCCUACAGAUUUCAGGCUCAAGACUACAACAUCGGCCUUGGCCAGCUCUCUGUAUUCUCCUGUCAUCGUGGUACCCUUAUGGCAUCAUAAUUCACAGGCAUACAGUGCAAUCUUCCAGAUACACUUAGGACCAACAAGUCAAAUUCAGAGGCUGGUUGUGAUAGUGCU
Long non-coding RNA from Myotis myotis, 1325 nucleotides. RefSeq lists it as uncharacterized. The record is from RefSeq and is a predicted model, not a curated record. Lineage: Eukaryota; Metazoa; Chordata; Mammalia; Chiroptera; Vespertilionidae. The transcript is spliced from 3 exons.